UUCCAGCCCCGAUGGGAGUGGAAAUCCUGGCUUGAGAGAUUGUCGUGCAAGCUUUCAAGACAGAUUGCAACGGACAGCGGGAACAUGG
RNAcentral lists this small RNA (88 nucleotides) under Flavobacterium saliperosum. Its description in RNAcentral is "Flavo-1 RNA". It matches the Rfam family "Flavo-1 RNA". Lineage: Bacteria; Pseudomonadati; Bacteroidota; Flavobacteriia; Flavobacteriales; Flavobacteriaceae. The record is from RNAcentral.